Molecule: non-coding RNA, 30 nt
Filed under: Mus musculus (house mouse)
Lineage: Eukaryota; Metazoa; Chordata; Mammalia; Rodentia; Muridae
Source: RNAcentral
UGGUUUUGUGUCUCCUAGCCAUCAGAGUGA